GUAUAAGCAAAAGUUUGAAUUUUAGAUUCAUUCAUUAAAUGAUGUAUGUAGUAGACUACAUACAUCAUUUAAUGAAUGAAUCUAAAAUUCAAACUUUUGCUUAUAC
Molecule: microRNA precursor, 106 nt
Organism: Medicago truncatula (barrel medic)
Lineage: Eukaryota; Viridiplantae; Streptophyta; Magnoliopsida; Fabales; Fabaceae
Rfam family: MIR2593 microRNA precursor family
Source: Rfam